AUUGAACGCUGGCGGCAUGCCUUACACAUGCAAGUCGAACGGCAGCACGGGUGCUUGCACCUGGUGGCGAGUGGCGAACGGGUGAGUAAUACAUCGGAACAUGUCCUGUAGUGGGGGAUAGCCCGGCGAAAGCCGGAUUAAUACCGCAUACGAUCUACGGAUGAAAGCGGGGGACCUUCGGGCCUCGCGCUAUAGGGUUGGCCGAUGGCUGAUUAGCUAGUUGGUGGGGUAAAGGCCCACCAAGGCGACGAUCAGUAGCUGGUCUGAGAGGACGACCAGCCACACUGGGACUGAGACACGGCCCAGACUCCUACGGGAGGCAGCAGUGGGGAAUUUUGGACAAUGGGCGAAAGCCUGAUCCAGCAAUGCCGCGUGUGUGAAGAAGGCCUUCGGGUUGUAAAGCACUUUUGUCCGGAAAGAAAACCUUGGCCCUAAUACGGUCGGGGGAUGACGGUACCGGAAGAAUAAGCACCGGCUAACUACGUG
This 486-nucleotide ribosomal RNA is filed under the name uncultured bacterium. RNAcentral describes it as "partial 16S ribosomal RNA". It matches the Rfam family "Bacterial small subunit ribosomal RNA", at positions 30 to 507 of the family's 1533-position model. The record is from RNAcentral.